Molecule: microRNA, 20 nt
Filed under: Ciona intestinalis (vase tunicate)
Lineage: Eukaryota; Metazoa; Chordata; Ascidiacea; Phlebobranchia; Cionidae
Description: cin-miR-4096-3p
Source: miRBase by way of RNAcentral
UGCAAUAUAGCUAUUUUGUG